Oncorhynchus tshawytscha (Chinook salmon) is the source of this 1377-nucleotide long non-coding RNA. Lineage: Eukaryota; Metazoa; Chordata; Actinopteri; Salmoniformes; Salmonidae. The record is from Ensembl.
GGGGCGGCAGGUAGCCUAGUGGUUAGAGUGUAGAGGCGGCAGGGUAGCCUAGUGGUUAGAGUGUAGAGGAGGCAGGUAGCCUAGUGGUUAGAGUGUAGAGGAGGCAGGGUAGCCUAGUGGUUAGAGUGUAGAGGAGGCAGGUAGCCCAGUGGUUAGAGUGUAGAGGCGGCAGGGUAGCCUAGUGGGUAGAGUGUAGAGGAGGCAGGGUAGCCUAGUGGUUAGAGUGUAGAGGCGGCAGGGUAGCCUAGUGGUUAGAGUGUAGAGGAGGCAGGUAGCCUAGUGGUUAGAGUGUAGGGGCGGCAGUGUAGCCUAGUGGUUAGAGUGUAGGGGCGGCAGGGUAGCCUAGAGGUUAGAGUGUAGAGGAGGCAGGUAGCCUAGUGGUUAGAGUGUAGAGGAGGCAGGUAGCCUAGUGGUUAGAGUGUAGAGGAGGCAGGGUAGCCUAGUGGUUAGAGUGUAGAGGCGGCAGGGUAGCCUAGUGGUUAGAGUGUAGAGGAGGCAGGUAGCCUAGUGGUUAGAGUGUAGAGGAGGCAGGUAACCUAGUGGUUAGAGUGUUGAGGAGGCAGGUAGCCCAGUGGUUAGAGUGUAGAGGAGGCAGGUAACCUAGUGGUUAGAGUGUUGAGGAGGCAGGUAGCCCAGUGGUUAGAGUGUAGAGGAGGCAGGUAGCCUAGUGGUUAGAGUGUAGGGGCGGCAGUGUAGCCUAGUGGUUAGAGUGUAGGGGCGGCAGGGUAGCCUAGUGGUUAGAGUGUAGAGGAGGCAGGUAGCCUAGUGGUUAGAGUGUAGAGGAGGCAGGUAGCCUAGUGGUUAGAGUGUAGAGGAGGUAGGGUAGCCUAGUGGUUAGGGUGUAGAGGCGGCAGGGUAGCCUAGUGGUUAGAGUGUAGAGGCGGCAGGGUAGCCUAGUGGUUAGAGUGUAGAGGCGGCAGGGUAGCCUAGUGGUUAGAGUGUAGAGGCGGCAGGGUAGCCUAGUGGGUAGAGUGUAGAGGAGGCAGGGUAGCCUAGUGGUUAGAGUGUAGAGGAGGCAGGUAGCCUAGUGGUUAGAGUGUAGAGGAGGCAGGUAACCUAGUGGUUAGAGUGUAGAGGAGGCAGGGUAGCCUAGUGGUUAGAGUGUAGAGGAGGCAGGGUAGCCUAGUGGUUAGAGUGUAGAGGCGGCAGGGUAGCCUAGUGGGUAGAGUGUAGAGGAGGCAGGUAGCCUAGUGGUUAGAGUGUAGAGGAGGCAGGGUAGCCUAGUGGUUAGAGUGUAGAGGCGGCAGGGUAGCCUAGUGGUUAGAGUGUAGAGGUGGCAGGUAGCCUAGUGGUUAGAGUGUAGAGGAGGCAGGUAGCCCAGUGGUUAGAGUGUAGAGGCGGCAGGGUAGCCUAGUGGGUAGAGUGUAGAGGAGGCAG